RNAcentral lists this long non-coding RNA (2209 nucleotides) under Sus scrofa (pig). RNAcentral describes it as "lncRNA (ENSSSCG00025041063.1)". Lineage: Eukaryota; Metazoa; Chordata; Mammalia; Artiodactyla; Suidae. The record is from RNAcentral.
UUUUUCUAUUCUUUGUCUUAUUAUGGAACUUGAACAAAGUUAACUGAAAGUCAAUUCCAUCUUUUAAAUUUUCUUGAGAUAAUACAGUGCCAUAAUGAAAAUACAUGAAAAUUAGUAACCACUCAGUUAUCCCAUGCACAGAAUUGCAGUUCUAAUUUCAAACUUUCAUAUAAAGCCUUCUAAUUCUUAAAUAUUUUUACACAGCUUCAUCACUUUUAUUGCUACUUUAUUUUCAGAUCACUUAAGCCAAAACUGGAGACAGUUUAGGUACCUUUGAGUUGUUAAAAGUUAUAGCCAAUUUUCUGAAAAAUUAUACCAGCUAAAAACACAACAUUAAAUAUUUACCCUGUUGGAUGUUAAAAAACGCUUACAAUGAAAAAUGUUCACAUAUUGACUAUUCAAAAUGGCCUUCACUUUGAAAUUGUGAAAUGGAAGGGAUUGCAGAUGUACAAGAAUAAAUAUAAAAACAAAUGAGUUGACUUGAAGUGUUGCCGGCUUUCAUAAACAUGCUACUGCAAUAACAUGUGACAUUAAUAUUUAAUUACAAAAGCACUGCUGCAAAAUCUUUGAAAUUAAUGUUUUGCAAAAUUAACAUUCAGUGCACAGAAGCAAAGUCGUUCCAGGCGCGACUGUGAUUAACAAUGCCAUUCACUUUACAUAUUAUAUUAAUAUAUUAUUCAAGCUACGAAUUAACACCUCCUAAUUUAAAUAAGGUGCUACAUAUCAUGAUGAGCUAAAAUGCUUUUCUUAAAACGGCCCGUCUGAUUUUAAGCAAUCUGUGUUUAUCAUUUAAUAUUUUGUUAUUGAAUACUGUUCUCUGUAAAACUCCUUCUACUUUAAUUUCAAGCCGAGGAGACCUCAUUAAACUGGUGCCUUCCGUUUCUAGGAUUGUUAAGCCAUUUGAACCAUAUUUUGUUCGCUAGCUAAGCCAGCAGUGCUGAAAUACUGCUGUGUGUAUGAAUGCGUUCUGAGGCAGCCAUACUUCUAUUUCGAGGUUCUAAGGGAUCCUUUCAAGCAACAUGCUUCUUUGCUUUCAAUGAGGCACUUGCUUACACAAAUAUUGCCACUAUCAUUGUGUCACAGAUUUCUACAUUUUUACUCUGAGGGUACUAGUGCACAUACAUUUUCUCAGACUUACUCGGCUUCAGGAAGACCAUAGCCACAUUUUAGAAAAUUACUACUCUAAAAAAAAAUGCCAAUCACAGGUGGUUGAAAUUAGCCACCAAAUACCUAAAUGCUUUGAAGAUAACCAUUUUAAAGAUCAUUAUUUUAUUUCAAUGACUCUAGAAAGUGAGAAAAGGCAAGUCUAUUAAAUGCCUAUUAAAUGAAUCCUAAAAAUGUAAUUUUCUAGUAGUAACUUCUUGAGAAGUUGGUAGUUCAUAAAGAAAACUCUUUGUAUAAAUGUUUCCCAAACUAUAAAUGUCUUUGGAAAAUAUACCAUAAAAACCUUAAAAUCACAAAUAUGUUAGGAUAUUCUACGCCAAAGGCAAGAGGGAAAAACAUUUAAAAUUCUACAACACAAUGUAAAUCGAAAACACAAAGGAUUGUUGUAAUGAUGACUGGAAGGUGGGACAAACGGGGUUAUUUAGGGUGAAGUUUUGUCUUAAUUCUUGAUGAAUGAUGUCAGUAUCUAACAAUUUUGCCUAUGGUGAUGAAUUCUGGGAAACCCACACCUGUUGAGUAAAUGUAUGCUACAAGGGUAAACUUCUGAGUGUUCAGAAAUUUGGCCAUAUUAUAGAUAAAAAUAUUAUAAAGAGACUCUAUGUUACUUCUAUGCCAUUCUCUGUUACCUAAGAUAAAAAAUAUCAUAUUUCUAAUUCUAUGUCAUAUUACAGCAAAGCUCCAAGGUACCAAAGUACUUCAUUUCCUAAAUGCCACUUAGCAGUUAGUUCAAUCUUACGAUGUAGACAUAAGACUGAACAAUGGGGAAUCUUCUGACAAUAACCCUCCUACUGAUUAAUCAAAAGUAACUACAAGUGCCCAAAUCUGGACCACCAUUACAGUCAUCACAUCACAUAUCUUCCCAGAUUAAAAAAAAACCUUUCCCCAUUGAAGAAAUGGACCCAAGCAACUAGUGAGUGAACACCUGAAUCGAGUCAUGCUCAUCAUGGCAAACUACAUUGAUUUAAUCAUUUUGCUUAAUGAAUGCAGAAUUUGGUUAAUGGUAUUACAUCCAGAAAUUCAGUAGUCUUGCUUUCUCCUUUUCCCC